Molecule: ribosomal RNA, 301 nt
Filed under: uncultured bacterium
Lineage: Bacteria
Description: partial 16S ribosomal RNA
Rfam family: Bacterial small subunit ribosomal RNA
Source: RNAcentral
CAGCCGCCGCGGUAAUACGUAGGGUGCGAGCGUUAAUCGGAAUUAUUGGGCGUAAAGCGUGCGCAGGCGGUUAUGUAAGACAGUUGUGAAAUCCCCGGGCUCAACCUGGGAACUGCAUCUGUGACUGCAUAGCUGGAGUACGGUAGAGGGGGAUGGAAUUCCGCGUGUAGCAGUGAAAUGUGUAGAUAUGCGGAGGAACACCGAUGGCGAAGGCAAUCCCCUGGACCUGUACUGACGCUCAUGCACGAAAGCGUGGGGAGCAAACAGGAUUAGAUACCCCUGUAGUCCCUGUCUCUUAUAA